GAAAUGCAGAUGGCAAUAAACUGUGUAGGAGUUCAUGAUUGCAAUAGAAUAAAAUUGACCAAGCCUGAAGUCAGCAGCCCCUUCAAUGAAUGCAGCAGUGUGACAGCCAACAAUCAAAAGUUACAAGAAGAUAUCGAGGAAAUGCAGAAGGCAAAAAACUGCGUAGGAGAUCAUUAAUACAAAAGUAUUAUAUAAACCAAACCUGAUGUUGCCAGCUCCUUCAAUGAAUGCAGCAGUGUGACAGCCAGCAAUCAAAAGUAACAAGAUAUCGAGGAAAUGCAGAAGGCAAAAAACUGCAUAGGAGAUCAUUAAUACAAUAGUAUUAUGUAAACCAAGCCUGAUGUUGG
Molecule: long non-coding RNA, 347 nt
Filed under: Pectinophora gossypiella (pink bollworm)
Lineage: Eukaryota; Metazoa; Arthropoda; Insecta; Lepidoptera; Gelechiidae
Description: uncharacterized LOC126380863
Source: RNAcentral